CCUACUGGAGGUAGCAGUGAGGAAUAUUGGUCAAUGGACGCAAGUCUGAACCAGCCAUGCCGCGUGCAGGCAGACGGCUCUCUGAGUUGUAAACUGCUUUUGUACGAGGGUAAACGCAGAUACGCGUAUCUGUCUGAAAGUAUCGUACGACUAAGGAUCGGCUAACUCCGUUCCCGCAGCCGCGGUAAUACGGAGGAUUCAAUUUUUAUCCGGAUUUAUUGGGUUUAAGGGGUGCGUAGGCGGUCGGAUAAGUUAGAGGUGAAAUCCCGAGGCUAAACUUCGGAAUUGCCUCUGAUACUGUUCGGCUAGAGAGUAGGUGCGGUAGGCGGAAUGUAUGGUGGAGCGGUGAAAUGCUUAGAGAUCAUACAGAACACCGAUUGCGAAGGCAGCGUACCAAGCUACUUCGGACGUUGAGGCACGAAAGCGUGGGGAGCAAACAGGAUUAGAUACCCUUGUAGUC
This 460-nucleotide ribosomal RNA is filed under the name uncultured bacterium. Its description in RNAcentral is "partial 16S ribosomal RNA". It matches the Rfam family "Bacterial small subunit ribosomal RNA", at positions 338 to 795 of the family's 1533-position model. The record is from RNAcentral.